This 1109-nucleotide ribosomal RNA is filed under the name uncultured bacterium NoosaAW44. RNAcentral describes it as "bacterial SSU rRNA". It matches the Rfam family "Bacterial small subunit ribosomal RNA", at positions 312 to 1464 of the family's 1533-position model. The record is from RNAcentral. Lineage: Bacteria; Candidatus Saccharimonadota.
ACUGGAACUGAGACACGGUCCAGACUCCUACGGGAGGCAGCAGUAGGGAAUUUUCCACAAUGGGCGAAAGCCUGAUGGAGCAACGCCGCGUGCAGGAUGAAGGCCUUCGGGUCGUAAACUGCUUUUAUAUGUGAAGACAUCGACGGUAGCAUAUGAAUAAGGAUCGGCUAACUCCGUGCCAGCAGCCGCGGUCAUACGGAGGAUCCAAGCGUUAUCCGGAAUUACUGGGCGUAAAGAGUUGCGUAGGCGGCCAAGUAAGCAGAAUGUGAAAUGAUACGGCUCAACCGUAUCCCCAUGUUUUGAACUACUUGGCUAGAGAAUGGAAGAGGUCGCUAGAAUUCCUGGUGUAGGGGUGAAAUCCGUAGAUAUCAGGAGGAAUACCGAUGGCGUAGGCAGGCGACUGGUCCAUUUCUGACGCUCAGGCACGAAAGCGUGGGGAGCGAUCGGGAUUAGAUACCCCGGUAGUCCACGCCGUAAACGAUGGAUGCUAGCUGUGCGAGGUAUCGACCCCUUGCGUAGCAAAGCUAACGCGUUAAGCAUCCCGCCUGUGGAGUACGAGCGCAAGCUUAAAACAUAAAGGAAUUGACGGGGACCCGCACAAGCGGUGGAGCGUGUUGUUUAAUUCGAUGCAAAGCGAAGAACCUUACCCAGGUUUGACAUCCUGCGAAGGUUUGCGAAAGCAGACUGUGCCUUUUGGAACGCAGUGACAGGUGAUGCAUGGCCGUCGUCAGCUCGUGUCGUGAGAUGUUUGGUUAAGUCCAUCAACGAGCGCAACCCUUAUAGUUAGUUGAAUUUUUCUAGCUAGACUGCCUCGGUAACGGGGAGGAAGGAGGGGACGACGUCAGGUCAGUAUUUCCCUUACAUCUGGGGCUACAAACACGCUACAAUGGCCGGUACAAAGGGCAGCUAAGUCGCGAGACGGAGCAAAUCCCAUCAAAGCCGGUCCAAGUUCGGAUUGCAGGCUGAAACUCGCCUGCAUGAAGCUGGAAUCGCUAGUAACGGUAGGUCAGCACACUACCGUGAAUACGUUCCCGGGUCUUGUACACACCGCCCGUCAAGCCACGAAAGUCGUCAAUACCCAAAGUCCUAGCUUGUCUAGGCCUAAGGUU